CCAAGGCCAAAGCCAAAGGCUUUGAAAGCCAAGAAGGCAGUACUGAAAGGCGUCCACAGCCACAAAUUCAAGAAGAUUCACACACCACUCACCUUCUGGGGUCCAAGACACUGAGGCUCUGGAGACAGCCCAAAUAUCCUCGGAAGAGCACCCCCGGAAGAAACACCAGCCCUGGAGAAACAUUCCCCUGACCACUGAGUUCAUGGUGAAGAAGAGAGAAGACAACAGCACACUUGUGUUCAUUGUGGAUGUCAAAACCAACAAACACAGGAUCAAACUGGCUGUGAAGUUCUCUGACGUUGAUGUGGCCAAGGUCAACACCAUGAUAUGUCAUGGAGAGAAGACAUAUGUUCCAUUGACUCCUGCUAUGAGGCUUUGGAUGUUGCCAACAAAAUUGGAAUCAUC
This 405-nucleotide long non-coding RNA is filed under the name Homo sapiens (human). RNAcentral describes it as "non-protein coding lnc-CNTN6-3:1". Lineage: Eukaryota; Metazoa; Chordata; Mammalia; Primates; Hominidae. The record is from RNAcentral.